UCCUGUGACCAAAAGCGCUCCUGUGCUUUACAGGCCCGUAACUUGAGAACGGAUGUAGCUACUACGGAUCGGCUGCCAGGCCGCGAUAAAGACUGUGUGUUCCAAAGGGAACACCCAUGUGAGUAGGCCAGCGGUCAAGCGAUGAACACAAAGUUAAAAUUACACCUCACCAGAGAGGUUCUGGGAAAUGGACAAUGAGUAGAGAGGAGUCAGGUGUGUGAACACCGAGGAUGAGUGGGAGGAGUCAGUUACUGAAUACCGUUAAACAUUUUAGAAUUUGUUGAAGUUAAAGUUCCCAGUUUCCUGUCAGAGUGAAGAGAAACCUGAGCUGCAGGAUGCUCUGGAGACAGGUGAGGAAGUCAGGUAAACCGUGGGGGAGAGAGAGAGAGAGAGAGAGAGAGAGAGAGAGCGAGAGAGAGAGAGUAUCUGGGACAGUAUGGCAGGAAUGUGCUUUUCAGAGUCUUCAGUUCAGUUCAGUUGUACUAAACUGGUCUUUGUGGGCGGGUCCUUCCUGUCCUCUCAGCAGAGGUGUAGGAAGUACUCAGAUACCUGAGUUGAAUCCACACAAAGUCAGAAUCCAGGUGAGGAGGCCAGAGGUCAGCUGAAGUCCAGCUGAGUCCACCUGAAACCAGGUUUUCAGACUCUGACCCUCAUUCUCACUCUGGCUUUAGUCCAUCUGGAUCCAGAAAUUCCAGAACUGAAGUCUAGGAGCCAGGACUAACUGGCUGUCAGAGGAACGAUCCAAACACUGACAGGGAGGGAGGGAGAGAGGGAGGGAGAGAGGGAGAGAGAUGUUGAUUUUUUUCCGAUGAAUUUCGGAGGAAAAACUCUCGUCUGGAAAAUGAAAUUCCCCUCAAACGUCUGCUGGCUGAAAUCAUUUCCCAACCGUCAGAAAGCUCUCCGGGCGCCUCCCUCCCUUCAUCCUCAACACAAACACUCCUUCCUCCCUCCUUCCUUCCCUCUUGUCUCCUCCCGGGCGUUUGUUUGAUUCCCGCUUUCUGGGCAGGAAGUGUUCCCCCUCAGCUUGAAUCCUGCUUCAGGAGGAGGAGUUCAUCAUCGGAGAGGAAAGAAGAGAAGGAGAAAAGCUAAUCCGUCCCGAGUGUUUCACGGACCCGCUGCAGGUUGAGACGUCCUGACUUUUCUCUCUGCCUCCUGCUCGAUGGUUUAAUUAUUAACCGGCUGCAGAGUUUAAACACACAAAUACGUGCAUUUUAAAGUCAACGUCAAGUAUCGUGAGCCAGACCGUUCAAAGACCGACGGUUGGAAGUUGUGCAGCUGCUUUCACUCUGCAGGCCUUAAUGCUCCAUUCUGAUUUAUUGCACAGAUCAUAGUUUAAAUGUGGCUCAUCUCAGACUGAAGUGUGAACUGUCCGCGGCCUGAAAGUGACAGAACAAUAAAACGACGUCACACGCAGCGCCCUGUCGGUUCGCUCAGACAUGCUAACCUGUCUCAUCUCCUGGUUUCCUCCUGGGGUCACAUUUCUCCUGAUUUAUUUUAUAAAUGUUCACAACUUUCUGUCCUUUUCAUUCCUGUUUCUGACCAACACAUCUGCCCCACAGCGCUCUCUCUCUGGGGCUGGAGACCCGCUGGAUUUUAAGGUGGAAGAAAGGAAAUCUGUGAGCAGAUGGACGAGCAGAAAGACAGUCACAUGUUUAAUUCUGGCUUCUGUGGAGCUUUUUCGUUCACUGAAGUUCCAUCUAGAGCAGAAUUAUGACGACGGUCGCUCGAGAUCUGAUGUCCGGACUGAGAUUAAUGUCAAGAAUCAGACCUGGAUCAGAUUUAGACCACAUUUGAAAGUGGCCCAAAGAUCAGAGUCACUGUGACCUGGGCUGUUCCAUAGAGAGUGUGUGGUUUUCCAGCUGCACAGCAGCGGAGAAGAAAGCGUCCAGAUGGUUGGCUGCCCUCCGCCCUCCCUGGAAGACCUUUUACUACAACACACUAAAGGUUCCACCUCACACUGGACACUCUGUGUGUGACCGCGGACGAUUCAGGACAAAUAAAACAAGAACAAAUAGACUGAAAAACAGUUUUUCUCCAAAAGCCACAACAGCACUAAACACUUCUUGAAUAAGAAUUAGUUACGAAUGGAUCGAAUGGAAAGAUUGUAAAGAAAUCUGAUCUGGGUCACUUUGGCCUGCAGUCUGAACGCAGUCUGAGACGGGACCUGCAGCAGGAAGAUGGAGGAACAGCGCCAACAAAACUAAAGGCAGAACAACAACAGCUCACAUCUGAAGAAAGGAAGGACAGGCCGAGUCUGCAGCGCCCGACGAGCUCAGCGUUAUCACACUGGACCAGGAGGACGGUGUCGCGCCUCAUUAACCCCCAAACUGUUUGUCCUCGUUACCGACAUCAGAUACAACAACAAGCUCCCAACACGCACACUGAUAGUGAUGCUGAAUUAGCAGAAUACGCGAAGGGAAAGUGUGUGUGGAGGAGGAGGAAGGCUGAUGAUGAUGGGAGGAGGAGGUCAGGGCUCUGCAGGAGGUCACGGCAGGAGACAGAGUGUGGGAACAGGACACACACACACACACUCAGAGGUGUGAAGUCUGGUUUGUGGUUUUCAGGGGGCGUUCAGGUGCUGUAGGUGAUUGUAGCUGUUAGUUUUGACACUUUUUUUAUGUGUGUGUGUUUCUUCAGUCGCUGCUCUCACCCACCUGCUGGGAGACACACUACUACUACUACUACUACUACUAUUACUAUUACUACUACUACUACUACUACAGCAGAUCUUACUGCAAGCAUCUUUACAGGAGGAAGUACAUUAAGAUCUACGGUUGCUCUGUAUGUGCUGCUCAUUUUACACGAGAUUUUUAUUCUUUUUAUGGAAUGUUUAUUUCAGCGUGAGAGUCCUGAUGCAGCUGUGCAGAGGAGAUGUGGAGCAUUAAAAGGGUUGCAGACAGAACACCACCAAAUCGGGUCAGGCCGAGAACAGAGACACUAAACUCGUUUGUUUACCUUCCGGCUGCAGCAGAAAGCAGGAAGUCGUUCUUCAUGUGAUCUGAGACAGAGGGCCUUUCCGAAACUGCUUGCUCCUCCCUCUCCCUGCCUACUUCCACUCCGUUUGUGCGUUCAUGCGGAGGGUCCUCCACACCACUCUUGUCUGAUAGACAAUAAAAAUGUUGUUUUAAUUGAA
This is a long non-coding RNA of Micropterus salmoides (largemouth bass), 3133 nucleotides long. RefSeq lists it as uncharacterized. Lineage: Eukaryota; Metazoa; Chordata; Actinopteri; Centrarchiformes; Centrarchidae. The record is from RefSeq and is a predicted model, not a curated record. The transcript is spliced from 2 exons.